RNAcentral lists this unclassified non-coding RNA (730 nucleotides) under Daphnia pulex (common water flea). RNAcentral describes it as "uncharacterized LOC124207055, transcript variant X1". Lineage: Eukaryota; Metazoa; Arthropoda; Branchiopoda; Diplostraca; Daphniidae. The record is from RNAcentral.
UUCAUGCACACGAGACGAUUCACGAUUGUCCCAACAUGGUCCCAAGCUCAAGUAAAAACUAGAAAAGAAUUCGAAAAGUGAAAUCAAUAUCAUAUCAGCAUAAGUUAACAUUCCAUUUGUCAUCAUUUGCAACGUAAUGAAGACCAUUUUGUUGAAGCUGGACAAAAAUUCUAAGUUCUGUCAUCAAUCCUGCAGCUGUGCAUGUUUUGUAAAUGGUGAAUCUCAAAUGAAUCCAAGAACUUUGAGUCGUCAUUUUACUUAAUUGACUUUCUUUUCAAAUUUUAAAAAUGGUGAUAAAUGAAGGGUACUUACCUGAGCAGCUGAGCUCUGCCUUUCUGUGGUUCCUUUCAAUUGAUUCAUUUGAGUUUAAUCCCUCGCCGCUGUUCCAGACCUUAUCCACUAGUGGAAUAUGCCGAGAGAUGUUGAACUUAUUCCAGGUUAUCCCUUCGCCAUUGUGCUACAAUUUGAAGAAGUUGACUGUUUCACAAGAGCUUUUGCUUUCAAUUAAUAUCUAUAAAUUGUGUAAAUGUGAUAACUUACAAGUGCAUAUCUGGGCUCCUUUCUUUUAUGUGCCCCGUUUCCCUAACUAAAUAAUAUCCAAUGCCCGCCGGUAGUCACUCACCCGCUGUGAAACCAGAAGGAUGAGGAGGGCUUUGUUUUGAAUUUCAUCACUUAUUUACGCGUCGAAAUUUCUUAACGUUCAUUGAACAAAUAUGCGCAUUUUAAUUUA